UUAUAAUGUCAUUUACCAUGUUUUGAGUGAACUAUGCAUGUUGUGUGUGAUUGUAUAACAUGCUUUUUAUACCUAGCUCACCCUUGCUUGUUUGUGUUGCUUGUGUAUGUUCCCUUUUACGAUGAUCAUCCACUUGAAUGUGAGCAGAUGUUGAAGAGGUCCCCUUGGAGCAAGAGCUUGAGAAUGCUGACGUUGCAGUCUAGUUCCUU
This 209-nucleotide long non-coding RNA is filed under the name Vigna radiata. RNAcentral's name for it is "long non-coding RNA (VRAD_LNC011409)". The record is from RNAcentral. Lineage: Eukaryota; Viridiplantae; Streptophyta; Magnoliopsida; Fabales; Fabaceae.